CCUACGGGGGGCAGCAGUGGGGAAUAUUGCACAAUGGGGGGAACCCUGAUGCAGCGACGCCGCGUGAGUGAAGAAGUAUUUCGGUAUGUAAAGCUCUAUCAGCAGGGAAGAAGAUGACGGUAACUGACUAAGAAGCCCCGGCUAAAUACGUGCCAGCAGCCGCGGUAAUACGUAUGGUGCAAGCGUUAUCCGGAUUUACUGGGUGUAAAGGGAGCGCAGGCGGUGCGGCAAGUCUGAUGUGAAAGCCCGGGGCUCAACCCCGGGACUGCUUUGGGAAC
RNAcentral lists this ribosomal RNA (278 nucleotides) under uncultured bacterium. RNAcentral describes it as "partial 16S ribosomal RNA". It matches the Rfam family "Bacterial small subunit ribosomal RNA", at positions 338 to 633 of the family's 1533-position model. The record is from RNAcentral.